RNAcentral lists this ribosomal RNA (253 nucleotides) under uncultured bacterium. Its description in RNAcentral is "partial 16S ribosomal RNA". It matches the Rfam family "Bacterial small subunit ribosomal RNA", at positions 524 to 776 of the family's 1533-position model. The record is from RNAcentral.
GACAGAGGGGGCAAGCGUUGCUCGGAAUCACUGGGCGUAAAGGGCGCGUAGGCGGGAUGGCAAGUCGGUCGUGAAAUCCCUCGGCUCAACCGAGGAACGGCGCUUGAUACUGCAAGGCUUGAGGGAGGCAGGGGUAAGCGGAACUGAUGGUGGAGCGGUGAAAUGCGUUGAUAUCAUCAGGAACACCGGUGGCGAAAGCGGCUUACUGGGUCUCUACUGACGCUGAGGAACGAAAGCUAGGGUAGCAAACGGG